CCCUGGCUCAGGACGAACGCUGGCGGCGUGCCUAAUACAUGCAAGUCGAGCGGAAUGAUGAAGAAGCUUGCUUCUUCUGAUUUUAGCGGCGGACGGGUGAGUAACACGUGGGCAACCUACCUUGUAGAUUGGGAUAACUCCGGGAAACCGGGGCUAAUACCGAAUAAUCCAUUUUGCUUCAUGGCAAGAUGUUGAAAGGCGGCUUCGGCUGUCACUACGAGAUGGGCCCGCGGCGUAUUAGCUAGUUGGUAGGGUAAUGGCCUACCAAGGCGACGAUACGUAGCCGACCUGAGAGGGUGAUCGGCCACACUGGGACUGAGACACGGCCCAGACUCCUACGGGAGGCAGCAGUAGGGAAUCUUCCACAAUGGACGAAAGUCUGAUGGAGCAACGCCGCGUGAGUGAAGAAGGUUUUCGGAUCGUAAAACUCUGUUGUAAGGGAAGAACACGUACGAGAGUAACUGCUUCGUACCUUGACCGGUACCUUAUUAGAAAGCCACGGCUAA
Molecule: ribosomal RNA, 506 nt
Filed under: Sporosarcina sp. CL5.67
Lineage: Bacteria; Bacillati; Bacillota; Bacilli; Caryophanales; Caryophanaceae
Description: bacterial SSU rRNA
Rfam family: Bacterial small subunit ribosomal RNA
Source: RNAcentral